Molecule: long non-coding RNA, 6070 nt
Organism: Mus musculus (house mouse)
Lineage: Eukaryota; Metazoa; Chordata; Mammalia; Rodentia; Muridae
Product: predicted gene, 35672
Exons: 4
Source: RefSeq, a predicted model, not a curated record
AGGGAAAAAAAAGAAAUUGGUAUUUUCCAACAAAAGAAAACUAAAAAAAUUUUCUUGUUAAGAAAAGAAAAGAACAACCAGAUAACAGAGACUCUUUGAUAUAGUCAUUUUUGCCUAGGACAGAGAGCAUUAUAAAAUAUUCUUGGCAUCUUUUCAGAAAUCCAUACCUGACAAUUAUUAGCUAUAUGCUAAUAUUGUCUGACAUUGAUAUAGAAUUAAGUACCAGGAUAUCUCUGAGAUAAGGAACACAGAAGUGCUGUGGCAACUGAUAAUAGAUGUAGCUUGCACUAAUAUAAGGGAAUUUUCACAAAUACUUCAGAAAAAGUACCUCCUCUUCAUUCAGAUCUAGAAAAUGACAGGGUACUAUCGUUUGUUUUAAGUUGUUCCUCGAAAGCAACUCCACAAACACAAACAUAAUCCCAUUGGCUUUAUUUUGCCAUUGUGGAGCAGGUUUAGUAUUUCCAAAGUAACCUAGCAGUUAUUCUGAGGCCAUUUGUAAACUGUAUCCUGAUAGGCUACCAAGGCCAUAUCAUCAUUAUAGGAUUAGAAGAAGUUAAUGGCUUUCUUCCCUCUAAAUCAUAUCACUGGCCACACUGGCCUCCUGACAAUGAGCUUGAUUCUCCAGCAUGAACACAUUUCUUCAUGUUAUACCUCUGGAGCCAAAGGACAAAUCAUUGGCUGAGUGCUCUUUUCACUUGAUUGGGUGAUACUAUCAUGAAAGUCUUGGCCUUAGACAAUUACUGUGAUGCAUACAAUAGGUCAUUUCUUAAGUCUCUCUGGAAAAAUGAGGACUCAAAUAAUAAUUCCUCCUUGUACAGUUGCCAUUAAGAGCUGUAGAAUCCCAAACAGAGGCUAGUUUUAAUGUCAGUGUGCUUGGUAUGAUUAUGAAGUACUCAGCUGAAGGAUUAUGGGAGAUGGAAAAGUCUCAGAGGCAGCAUUUAGGGCAAACACCACUUAAUAAACUAAAAACCACCUUUAUAGAAUGUCAUGCCACUCAAGGUAGUAAACAGUCCUUUAUUCUAGCUUGCUGAGGACUCCUUGGUGUAAAAAUGACCAGGGCCUGGCAGCACACUCCAAAGCCACGUGUCCUGUCUGUGGCAGACUAGUUCUCGUAUACACUAGGAUCUAUGUGGUCAGUGCAAAAGGCUUUGGGGUAGUUAUAGCAACUUUUACCUGCUUCAUUUCUAUCUCUUCAUGAAUUUUAAAAAUGAUCCUAGGACAUGGUUUCUUCUUGGUCAUAGCUCAUAUGUCCUACAACAAAUUAACAGAAACAGGGAAGCUGGUAAUUUUGAUAAAUGAAUGGUGACUAGUACUUACACAACUGAGCUAGAACUACAUGAGAGUCAGAGGUCCCACUGAGUUUCAUCUUGUCUUUUUCUGUCUUAGGGAGAAGCAGACAUGUAGCAGCCACUUGUGGAAUGGCUUCUGAAUAGGCAUUACCACACAGCAACACUAGGCUGCUAACUGCAUACUCAGGAUGAAAAAGCAAAAAGGAAAAGGUGAAGAUAGAGAGAGCCAAAGACUAGCAGGGCUUAAAAAUCAUUUGGUGUCUGAUGGUUGGCUUGGAUGUAAACAUUUGGGGUGUGUGGUAAGCAUGGGAGCAUACUACAUUUCAGAAAACACAUUUACAGAGAACCUUUUACUUAAAAGCGAACUUUUCCCUCUCUCCCUUUGGGCAGAGCUUGGCCUGCUGCAGACCAGGAGGUGUGAAGCAUACAAUGAACUUGAUCAGACUGUCUCUGUGGCAGCUGUCCAAAUCACACAUUUCCCUAGCAGAACAUUCAGGCUUCAGGAGGAAGGAAGUCUUCUGCUACUGAAGAUCAUUAGCAGUGCUGAGUGCAACCACUGUCAGUUGCUUUGGGGUUGGCCUCUGAUCACUCAUACAAAGGACGGAAAAUUGCUGGCGCCGCUGGCCCUGUGCCCAGCCUGUUGGACAGCAGAGCCUAUGAAAGCCACUUUUUUUUUUUUUUUUUUUUAAAUAGCCAACACACUGGAAGGGGGCAAAGGGUGGCUGGCAUACACCCUCAGGCACAUUAAUCAGCAAGGAAUUGAUCAAAUGUCACCACCCACUGGACUUCACUACCAAAACUCCAUGCAAAGGAGACUCCUAGAAAAGGGGAGGCCCCAGAAUAACACUGCAUGCAUAAAAUGUCCUCCCUUCCUUCAUAUGGAAAGCUCAUCUCUGAGGUGUCAGGAUAAAACAUGAGAACAGCAUCUGUCCUUGGAGACCAGCAGGAGUGAUUCACUAUUUCAUGGCACAGAGAAGGGAGGAGGACACUGUAAUAAAAGUUUAUAAGGUGAAAUCUAAAUCCUGAAUGUCCUGCACCUUAAAAAAAACUUUCUUCUUUGUUUUGUUUUGUUUUUUUCUUUCUUUCUCUUCCUCUCCCCUUCCUGAGAGAACAUAACACAAUGUAAUUAAAUGGUAAAUUACUCAAGAAAGAAAUGUCUAGACUCAUGAAAAAAAAAUCUUUGUGCAGAAACAAAACUUUAUACACCUCACAUAUUUUGGAUAGCCUAGUUCUUCCAGCAAAGUUUAACGCUAUAACCAUGAUUGUUUAAAGAAUAAUUUUCAUCAGAUGAAAGGGUAGUGAAGUGAAAAAAUUCACAAUUCUAGCGUAAGACAAUCUGUGGAUGAAGGAAUUAAUUGCUCCUUAAGUAAACAAAGUAAAAUUUGAGGCCAUGAGUGAGCUUUUCUCUAUUUCUAGUCAGUCUCUGAACAGGAAAUGUGUUGCCCUGAGAGUCACAAUGCAUACAUUCUCCCGAAUCCUGAGAACAACCCCAGUAUUCCUCCUAUUCAUCCCUAAAGGAAGAUGUCUGCAUACCAACAACUGAAUCCACAAGGUGAAGCUUAGAUCUUGGCUAAAAUUUACAAUAUAUAAAUAGAUUUUAUUUAACUUAAUUUAGAAAACUUAUGAAGGAUUAGUAUUUUAAAAUACAGUGGCUGAAGCUGGGCCUAUGGUACAUACCUUUGACUCCAACACUGAGACAUAGGCAGCACAAUCUCUAAAUUCAAGGCUAACCUGGUAUACAUAGUAAGUUCCAGGCUAUUCAGCAGAAUAGUUUGUCCUCAAUGUGUGUGUAUGUGUGUGUGUGUAUGUGUGUGUGUGUGUGUGUAGCUAAAAUGGAAAUUAGGAAAGUUAUAGAUUUAAAGGUCAAAAUGUUUGACAUAGUUUGAAAUUGAACUACUUUGUAGGAAUUUAAUCAAUUAGCACAAAAUUUCAAGAUAUUGUACAAGGUUUCAUUAAGGGACUACUGAAGGUAUAAUGCAAUUAAAUGUAAAAGAGACUCUAUUUAAAAUGCUCCAAGUAGACAGGCUGUGCUAUUUUAAGGUACUAAUUUCCAUCUGGCAGAGCAGAACCAGACCUACAAUGCUGUGCUUCAGAGCAAUUGCUCUUAGGUCUCAGGGUGCCGUGGGGUUACUGAGUGUCAUAGGCACCAUGAUACAUCUUCUGUACAGUGGCUCCAGUUGGGAUCCAUCUCUUUUUAGUGAAUGACAUCUAUGCGAGAGGCAGCAGCUCCCUCUCUCAUUAUGGAACAAAACACAACAAAACCCUUCAUUUGCUGUGCUUUUGUAAGAUUUAGUUUAGGUUGAAGCAACAGUAUACUUUUGAUAUGAACAUAGAACACUAUUCUUAAAGCACACUAAUUGAAGAGCAAUUAAUUAAAUUAUAUCACACACAAUAACUCCUAAGAACUACUUUUUAAAAGCCAGAUGUUGCAUUCAUAUGGUUAAAACUUCAAAAACUAACAAGGCAUGUCGUUGCAAUCUCCCCUAAUUAGCAUCUCUUCCUUCUGCAAUCAAGCAGCCACAGUUUAAUUCCCAUUUUACUCCCCGUUUGCAUCACAAUCUGCAUACUAUCCCAAUCAUGCCACUUCAGUUUCUCAUCUCUGAAAGGAGUUUGUUUCAUGAAUACCCUUUUACGUUUUGACAGAUGUAAGAAACCACCUCAUAAAUAUGUCAUCAUUUAAAUUGUUGAAUUUAGACAUUAGCUUUCUAUCGAUGGGGAUGGGCUCUCCUCUUGGCUAAAAAAAGGGGGGCGGGGACAAAAAUACUGAGGGAAAGGCCUUGAAUUUUUAAAUCUUCCUAUGAUUCUGUUCUGCAGCUGUAGAACUAUGCACUUUUUGGGACUUUCAGUUUGCCAUCUAUCUCUAUCACAAACAUUGCUUCACCCUGUUUUGAACUUUUAUACCUUCUAACAAGUAGCUUUUAGUAGUCCUCUUGGUUCUAAGUAGAGAUGAUAAGAUAAUAACCACCACUAUCCCCUAAGAGGUUUGAAUGCUUUAUAAGCAGUAAUAUCUUGAGGGUCCAAAUAAAAGCUGCUUGAGCUCAGAUGCCCUACAGUAAGCUAUUAAAAACAUUUCUUUCUUUCUUUUCUUUUUUUUUUAGGUAUUUUCUUCAUUUACAUUUCCAGUGCUAUCCCAAAAGUCCCCCCCCCCCCCACUCCCACUUCUUGGUCCUGGCAUUCCCCUGUACUGAGGCAUAUAAAGUUUUCAAGACCAAUGGGCCUCUCUUUCCACUGAUGGCCGACUAGGCCAUCUUCUGAUACAUAUGCAGCUAGAGACACGAGCUCCGGGGGGUACUGGUUAGUUCAUAUUGUUGUUCCACCUAUAGGGUUGCAGAUCCCUUCAGCUCCUUGGGUAUUUUCUCUAGCUCCUCCAUUGGGGGCCCUGUGAUCCAUCUAAUAGCUGACUAUGAGCAUCUACUUCUAUGUUCUAUAAAAACAUUUCUAAGCUGUUUAAGAUAUCAGGGAUUUUAGUUAGAAGUACUGAAUUCAAAUACAGAACUUGCUAUUUGCUGGCUGUAUUUUUUUGGCAACUCCUUCUAAUCUCUUCAGCCCUCAGUUUCAUACAUUUGAAGAAGACCCCUACAUAGGUCUGCUCUGAGGGGAUAAGACAACACACAACUUUGCAAGAGGUAAUGGCUUCCAAAACUCUUGUGAGUAUGUAUGUAUGUAUGUAUGUGUGUGUGUGUGUGUGUGCAUGCAUGCAUACAUGUAUGUAUUAUCUAUCUUUCUGUCUAUUCAUUAUUUUAUUUUGAGACAGGGUCUUACCAUGUGACUCUGGCUGACCUAGAACUCUAUCUGUAGACCAUAUAGAUCAGGCUGGUCUGGAACUUGUAGCUUGCCUCUAUAUACCUCCUGAAUCCCAAAGACAUCCUCUAAAACAUCAUUACCACACCGACUAAAAGCAUGUAUCUUUUACUUAACAGAGGACUGGGAAAGUGAGGGAAGGGUGGGGAUAUCAGACCAGGGUUAAGUGUUCUCAUGGGCUAACAUCUUGAGGACAUGAGUUUACACUGUCUCCAGAACAUGAAGAGUCAGCUAGAUCAAGAACACAAAGGGACAGAUGGCCUGGGAUGGGGCAGAGAUGGCUAUGGCUAAGGACAAAUCCAGGGCAAUAAUCUCCAUUUUCCAUUCUUGGAGCAGUAAAAGGAAACCUAUAACUUUUGGGGAGUGGGUAUGUAAAAUUUUGCUUUGUUUUUAUAGGAAAUAAUGUGAAAGAAAGUUGAAAUAUGAAGAUAUGUCAGGAAAACAUGGUAGUUCAUGCCUGUAAUCACAGCACUUAGAAGGCUGAGACAAGAGGACUGCCAUGAAUUCGAUGCUAAUCUGGUUACACAUAAUGAGUUCCAGGCUAGUCUGAGCUACAGAAUUCUGACACCAGGGGACAAUGGAUAUGGAGUUCCUACAACCAUCAUUUGGGCAGAUGAAGGAGAGCCAGGGAUAUACCACAGAUUUUUGGGACCAUGGACACUAAGAAUCACCAGAAUCAUCAGCUGAUUUCAGGAGAACUCAACAAAGGCCACAGGCAUUGAAUUUUCUGAACCUGGAGUUACAAAUGAACCUGCUGGAUGUGAAUACUGGGAAUAGGACUGGAAACUGACUCUUCUGCAAGGGAGCAAAUGCAUGCAGAAUCCUGAAGACAAACAGGGCAUUUAUUCACCUAUGGAAAGCAAGCAGCAUUGCAUCCUCUGCAGUCACUGUUGCUAGGAAUUUGGAACUUUGAGUUGCUUUAAAGAAGGGUUUGAUUUAAUAGCCAGAAGCUGGAAAGAACCCAGAUGCCCCUCAACAGA